GAACGCAUCUUGCGCUCCUUGGUAUUCUGAGGAGCAUGCCUGUUUGAGUGUCAUUAAUAUCUCAACCAUACUCAUGUUGGAGGGUAUGGCUUGGACGUGGGGGUUACAGGCCCUUAUUUGUGGUCUGCUCCCCUGAAAUACAUGAGUGGCAAAGCCCCUCCAUUAGGUGUGAUACUUAUCUGCAUCGUUGUUGUUGUUCUUGACCUCAAAUCAGGUAGGACCACCCGCUGAACUUAAG
This 238-nucleotide unclassified non-coding RNA is filed under the name uncultured Inocybe. Its description in RNAcentral is "sequence contains 5.8S rRNA gene". The stretch from base 1 to 53 matches the Rfam family "5.8S ribosomal RNA", at positions 102 to 154 of the family's 154-position model. The record is from RNAcentral. Lineage: Eukaryota; Fungi; Basidiomycota; Agaricomycetes; Agaricales; Cortinariaceae.